This 243-nucleotide ribosomal RNA is filed under the name uncultured bacterium. RNAcentral describes it as "partial 16S ribosomal RNA". It matches the Rfam family "Bacterial small subunit ribosomal RNA", at positions 333 to 593 of the family's 1533-position model. The record is from RNAcentral.
AGAUACCUACGGGGCGCAGCAGUGGGGAAUGUUGCACAAUGGGGGAAACCCUGAUGCAGCAACGCCGCGUGAGUGAUGACGGCCUUCGGGUUGUAAAGCUCUGUCUUCAGGGACGAUAAUGACGGUACCUGAGGAGGAAGCCACGGCUAACUACGUGCCAGCAGCCGCGGUAAUACGUAGGUGGCGAGCGUUGUCCGGAUUUACUGGGCGUAAAGGGAGCGUAGGCGGAUUUUUAAGUGAGAU